GGUGGUGCAUGGUUGUCGUCAGCUCGUGUCGUGAGAUGUUGGGUUAAGUCCCGCAACGAGCGCAACCCUCGUUCCAUGUUGCCAGCGGGUUAUGCCGGGGACUCAUGGGAGACUGCCGGGGUCAACUCGGAGGAAGGUGGGGACGACGUCAAAUCAUCAUGCCCCUUAUGUCUUGGGCUUCACGCAUGCUACAAUGGCCGGUACAAAGGGUUGCGAUGCUGUGAGGUGGAGCUAAUCCCAAAAAGCCGGUCUCAGUUCGGAUUGAGGUCUGCAACUCGACCUCAUGAAGUCGGAGUCGCUAGUAAUCGCAGAUCAGCAACGCUGCGGUGAAUACGUUCCCGGGCCUUGUACACACCGCCCGUCAAGUCACGAAAGUUGGUAACACCCGAAGCCGGUGGCCUAACCCUUUUGGGGGGGAGCCGUCGAAGGUGGGACCGGCGAUUGGGACUU
Molecule: ribosomal RNA, 450 nt
Filed under: Arthrobacter subterraneus
Lineage: Bacteria; Bacillati; Actinomycetota; Actinomycetes; Micrococcales; Micrococcaceae
Description: bacterial SSU rRNA
Rfam family: Bacterial small subunit ribosomal RNA
Source: RNAcentral